UUAAAUGCAGUGAUUGGGAAUAGUACAAUGGGAUACUGCUUAAAUAAGCUUGAUAGUUAAGCUUACAUUCAGAGAGGGAAAUCAAUAGCUGAGAGAUUUCCUAAGAGUGAACAUUGGAAGGUCGCCCAUGAGUAGCUUCUGUGAAACAUAAAUUGGAGUAAUUGAAGCCGGUGAAAAGCCGUUAUCAUAGUUAAGUGCCAGGCUUUAGUGUAUGUAAUAGCUAUUGUCUGUGAAAAAAGGUGGUACCGCGAAAAUCGCUCCCUUCGUCCUUUUG
RNAcentral lists this non-coding RNA (274 nucleotides) under Heyndrickxia sporothermodurans. RNAcentral's name for it is "Bacillus sporothermodurans T-box sequence". It matches the Rfam family "T-box leader". From Rfam's summary of the family: Uncharged tRNA acts as the effector for transcription antitermination of genes in the T-box leader family. T-boxes are found upstream of many aminoacyl-tRNA synthetase genes and some amino acid biosynthetic genes usually in Gram-positive bacteria. Lineage: Bacteria; Bacillati; Bacillota; Bacilli; Caryophanales; Bacillaceae. The record is from RNAcentral.